Long non-coding RNA from Malus domestica (apple), 544 nucleotides. RefSeq lists it as uncharacterized. Lineage: Eukaryota; Viridiplantae; Streptophyta; Magnoliopsida; Rosales; Rosaceae. The record is from RefSeq and is a predicted model, not a curated record.
GCUGAUAGCUAGCAACGGGAAGGAAGGAGCCAAACUUUUGUAUCUCCAGCUAGUAAUUAAAAUGGUUCACAAUCACAAGGCCUGCGGUGUUUACAUGAUUCCCUUCUUUCUAUUGCUAUUGUUCUCAUCAAAAUUAGUCUUUGCCAAUGUUUCUGAACAUCCAGUACACAGGAAGCUGAUGAUUAGCAGGUCGCAUCUGCAAAUGGAGAUCAGUUUAGCAAGGAAAGUGCAGUCAAUAGACGUACCAAUAGGUUCUAAGCCACCUGGAAUAGGAAGGGAAGCCCCAUGAGCCGGCCAUCUAGGACCCAUCAGGGAUCGCCCCUGAUUGCAAAUAAUUUUUUUUUAUUAUUGAAUAAAAUAUUAUUCAAAGUUAAAUUACGGAAAAUUCUUCCAUGUUACAUAGCAUUAAAUGCUAAUAGUAUUGAAUGAUCUGGAGUGGUCUUGUAGAGAAAUUUUUCAGUGUACCGGAAAACAUGGUCUUACUCCGAUACACCAAAUGUCAUUACAUAAAUAAUUAGAAAUUUCUUUUCAACUUUCCAUCCAA